RNAcentral lists this ribosomal RNA (421 nucleotides) under uncultured archaeon. Its description in RNAcentral is "partial 16S ribosomal RNA". It matches the Rfam family "Archaeal small subunit ribosomal RNA", at positions 323 to 746 of the family's 1478-position model. The record is from RNAcentral.
CUACGGGGGGCAGCAGGCGCGAAACCUUUACAAUGCACGCAAGUGUGAUAAGGGGAUCCCAAGUGCUUUAUUUCGGUAAGGCUUUUAUCAAGCGUAAAUAACUUGGAGAAUAAGUGGUGGGUAAGACUGGUGCCAGCCGCCGCGGUAACACCAGCGCCACAAGUGGCAAUCACUUUUAUUGGGUCUAAAGGGUCCGUAGCCGGUUUGUUAAAUUCCUCGUGAAAUUGUUAUGCUUAACAUACCAACUUGCGAAGAACACUAAUAGACUAGAGACCGGGAGGAGAUAGAAGUAUUCUAAGGGGAGUGGUAAAAUACUAUAAUCCUUAGAGGACUACCUAUGGCGAAGGCAUCUAUCUGGAACGGUUCUGACGGUGAGGGACGAAAGCUAGGGGAGCGAUCCGGAUUAGAUACCCGGGUAGUC